Long non-coding RNA from Populus euphratica (Euphrates poplar), 1372 nucleotides. RefSeq lists it as uncharacterized. The record is from RefSeq and is a predicted model, not a curated record. The transcript is spliced from 3 exons. Lineage: Eukaryota; Viridiplantae; Streptophyta; Magnoliopsida; Malpighiales; Salicaceae.
CUAGACACCAACUUGCUCUAAAUGGCUCUCUCAUUCCCCACCUGUCUCAGAAGGUGGCUCUUCGACUUCACAACUGUAACCCAUUUCAUUCUCAUCAUUUUUGCGUGCAAUGAUCCUCCCCAGGUUUUAUGGGCUCUUCUUUUUUCUUUCUUUUAUGGUAUAAUUUCUUUUCUUUUUUCGGUGCAGUUUUUAGUCCUUAAAUAAACAUGAUAAUUUGACCAAAAGUUUACUUCUUUUUUAAAAUUUUGGUUUGUUGAUUUUUGCUAAUUUGUAUUGAUGGGUUCUGAAUGUUUUGUUUGAUUAGCUCUUCAGUGAUAGUUAUGUUAUCUGGGUUUGAUUUUUGUUGGAUUAAAACAAGAAAGAUGGGACUUUUUUUGUUAAGUUCUGACUGGUUUUGGAGGUUAAGGGAGAGUAGUUCGAGGAUCAUUCACGCAAAAAUGAUGUGAAUAAUGGGUUAUUAUGUGAAAAAAUGAUCUCGUUAUUGAAGGAUAACCAGAGCUUAAGAGGGUCCUUGUUACAAAAGGUUCUUAUUAAGUUCAUUUUUUCAUUUUCUCCCAUUCCAAAGAUCCCGCAUGGCUACGUUUCACAGCUUUGCUGCACUACUUGAGGUUUCUCUCAGCCAGCUAGUUAUCUUCCAUACUGAAUUAGGUGUGCAUAAUCUCUCAGACAUGCCAGUGGUCAAAAUAUCUCAUGUCGUACUACACUGGUAAACUCUAUUCUUCAAUGCUUGCGUUCAAUUUUAGGAUUCAGUUGUUAAUUUUCCUUACUGUUUUCGCUGUGAUAGGGCCAUUGUCAGUUGCAGUUUCAAGAACUAGUUGGUAGCUUUGGAUUGAAACAUUUUCUAUUUACCACACAAUUAAUUUACUUUUGACACAUCAGAGGUUCCAUGAAGAAUUGUGCGCCCGCGUGCAUGCCAGUGUUGUGUUUCUAGGAAAUUUUAUGCAACUCUCAUUAAAUUUUAUGUAUAGACGAUGGAUCAUUUAAUUUAAAGAAGAGACUAAAUAUUUGCGAAAAUAGUCUCAAUUGGAUGUCUGAUCCUUCCAAAGAGAGGGAAUUUCAUUUAUGCCAAAUACUUGAUUUUGAUCAGUCAAUCAAUCAAUGCCUUACCACAUUUGUUUUGUCAUUUUUUCAUGGCUUUUCUUAUUUGUCUGGCUUUGGAGAUGCAAAGGACAAUAGCAAAUUAAACUGAUCAGAUGCAGAAGUAUAGAGAUGACAAGAUUUUGAAAGACGACUACUGGUGAAGAAUAACAAAGAAGUCCAGAGUUUUUGGAGAGAUCUGAUAAGUAGGUUUAUAUGUUAGUUUUUGCAUGCAGGCCAGGCUCCAAGCUUCUCUCCUUGAGUGGGUUUAUGUGUUUGAUCUAUGUCCGAAGGG